This 301-nucleotide ribosomal RNA is filed under the name uncultured bacterium. RNAcentral's name for it is "partial 16S ribosomal RNA". It matches the Rfam family "Bacterial small subunit ribosomal RNA", at positions 509 to 809 of the family's 1533-position model. The record is from RNAcentral.
CAGCCGCCGCGGUAAUACGGAGGGAGCUAGCGUUGUUCGGAAUUACUGGGCGUAAAGCGCACGUAGGCGGCUACUCAAGUCGGGGGUGAAAGCCCGGGGCUCAACCCCGGAACUGCCCUCGAAACUAGGUAGCUAGAAUCUUGGAGAGGUCAGUGGAAUUCCGAGUGUAGAGGUGAAAUUCGUAGAUAUUCGGAAGAACGCCAGUGGCGAAGGCGACUGACUGGACAAGUAUUGACGCUGAGGUGCGAAAGCGUGGGGAGCAAACAGGAUUAGAUACCCCCGUAGUCCCUGUCUCUUAUAA